Thunnus maccoyii (southern bluefin tuna) is the source of this 3092-nucleotide long non-coding RNA. RefSeq lists it as uncharacterized. The record is from RefSeq and is a predicted model, not a curated record. The transcript has 5 exons. Lineage: Eukaryota; Metazoa; Chordata; Actinopteri; Scombriformes; Scombridae.
ACAGAGACAAAGGAGACAAAGACGGAGGCUGCAUCGCCUGGUAUGCUGUCAGACCUUUCAAACAAAUCCUGCUGUGGAGAAAUGUCCAGUUUCCUGUGCACGAGGAGGGGAUAGCCAGGUUGAGCCUGGAUAUGGCAACAUCUCUGCUAAAAGACUCAGGUAUACUAUACAAGCACACCUAUGACAACCUGGAAUCUAUUGAAGUCCUUGUAACCAGUUUUAAAGAUGAGAAAGAGACUUGUAAUUUAAAAUUCUCUAUGUUAACAGUGCCAAGGAUCUCAUAGAUCAAAGCCUAGCCCAGCAAAUGGUCUGUGUGCUUGAUAGAUUAUUCGAGUAACGUGGAUUUCUUGGAAUAUAUUGAUGCUGACACGAGCGUAGACGUGAAGGACUUUGAUAGAUUCCAUAUCUACUUUUCAGCCAGAGGGCCCUAGGUGGAAACUGUCUUGGGGAGACUAAUCAAAAUCAGAACACAGUCAGCCCCCACAGUCACUACUUCAGAGGAAAGCCCCACAAAUUCUCAAGGAGUAUGAGACUGCAGGUAUAUGUCAAUGCCAGAGGAAACUCCUUGUGAAGGCUUGCAUAGGAGAUUUGGUGGAGAGGUGGGUUUGAAAGUAUUGCACCAUACCACACUUUGUCAAAACUUUAGCAUGAAUAUUUCACUUGACAAAAUGUUCAAGUGCACUGAAGCAACAAAAAGGGUACCUGUGUCAAUGUAUGAGGAAGUGGCAGUGUUUUUGUCCUAUUUUCCAUUUAACCUCUUAGUGCAGAGAAGCUGGCUGUAGUGUCCCAGUGGCAGGACAAGGGGAAAGAUUUGAGCAUUACUAUGAUCCAGUCUCUCACUGUGGAUUCUUAGAUUAAACUGUGCAACCUUAGACAGAAUCUUGAGCAAGAGCAGAGAAGUUAUAGGAAGCGAAAAGUGCCCAAUGACUGCAGUGGAGCUGAGAGGCCUGAUAUCACGGAGGAUUGGCGUGCCAGCAGCACAAAUGAGUGGGGUCACCCUGAUCAAAAGAUUGCAGCCUUCAGCUGAGAACAUUUCAGCUAUCGAGUCAGGCAUGGAGAAAACAUAGACCCCUUGCAGAGCCUGGAUUACCAAGUACUCCCCCACUGUUGCUGAAAAAUUCAAUGAGUACCCAUGGUUUUUGGACAUGCCAUGUCUGGUAGGUUGCUUGGUUCCCUGGUAGUGGCUUAUUUAGAUUGCAUUCACAUGAAAUCCAGGGGUGUGAGUUAGGGAUGCAUGAUGAUAUUGGCAUCAGCCCAAAAUGAACAUUUCUGCCAUAUGACAGGCUGAUAAGAUGAUUCUUUAAUUAUGCACAUGCAAUCUGUAGGAAACUAUGCAUUCAGCAACCCUGUUUAAAGGAGCAGGCAGCUGUUUUCAGCAAACAAGCUUUAUAAACCCACUGUACAUAAGAUGCAGCAAACAGCAGACAAAGUUAGGAACUAGCUGCUGGAAAGUUGACCAUCUAGUAGCUAAAGAGCCAGAUAUACUUCUCAGGAGUUGGUGGAAACCAAACCAGAGCUAAAAGGAGAGGGGAUAUUGGACUUGCAUUCAAACACCACUCCAAAUAAAUGCUAAUGUUGCUCUGUGUCUGAUGUGGAAGUGGGUAGCUGCAACAUGUUAGCCUUUUUUUCCUGGUGAAAAAAAAUUUGGUAAAAUUAAUGCUGCGCCAUUUCAUUUAUAAGGAGGAGCUGAUGACUUUUGAAAAGCUGAAUGACCAGAUUUCAAGUUUUCAGGACGGAUAUGGAAAUGUGAAAAACAAGCCAAGUACUUAAGGUCCAGUGAGAGUGAAGUAAAAGAGACAGUGUCUCAAAUGUGGUGCCUUUAACUGGUCUUUCCCUUUCUAUUAGGAGAUCUUGUAGACAGAAAAAGUCAACACUGGCGUUUAUUGAUUUUACAGAGGGAAAACCCAGCAUCAUAUUUGCACCAGUUGUUACAAGUGGGCUUGCUGUAUUCCUGAAAGAGCUGAUAACAGAGCACCAUACUCUUUUCAGACUGCUGUAUGACACAAAUCUCAUUCUGAAAACUUCAUUUUAUGAUACAUUAUCCGAGGGUGAUGAUUUUGUUUGGACCUCUGUAUAGACUCUGGUGCAUGUGAUUUGAAGCCAAGCACAAUCCAUUUAAAAGACUAGCACAUGCAGUUUGUAACUUCAAAAAUGUGUUAAACACAUUGGCUUUUAAACACCAGGUUCAACAGAUGUAAUACUAUACACAUUGUGAUAAUCUGUCUAAGAAAAUAGAUGUCACCAAUGCCUAUCUUGUUAGUGUGGGGUCAUUGAAAAAAGCAGAUGUCUUGUUGGAACAACUUGAUGUUUACCCUUGAAAUUGACCUUUCUUUGACUAGUACUAUCUUUGUGGUGUCUCACAGUGUUGAUGUGUAUGGCCAGAGUUAGAACUGGUUCUGUAGUGCCACUGAGAACAGACCAUAGAGAAGAGCCUUUGUUUGGUGAAGUCAUUCAUAUCUUGCAACAGGCAGAUAAUGAGUCAAUUCUCAUGUUUGUGAGGAUCCUAGUAAAGUAUUUUGACCAUUUUUAUACCUUUGCAGUGCAGAGAACAAAAUAAUAUCAACUGAUUACAAUGACUGAAACAUAAGAUUUUUGGCCUUUAGAUAUUAUGACAAGCUUUGAUACUAGUGAGCUGUAUUUGAACCCAAGGUACAAAAUUGCAUAGCUUGGAUUUUAAUUUCAUUAUACACUGUAAAUAUGUUUGCCCUUUGGAUGCAACUACACGAUGACAAUUGUUUCCAAUUAGAUGUUUUAUGUUUUUCAUUACUGUGUUCUGUCUGGACAUGAUUAUUUCAGAAUAGAUAUUUUAAAUUGAAUUACAUUGUUUUUGGGGUUGUGGACAUCUUAACAAUCAGUUAAUCAAACAGUUAGAAAGUUAGCUAGAUAAGUGGGAAAAAGAUACAGCUAUUUUGUAAUAUUGAUGUGAGUCCCUAAAACAAAAAUAGUCUUGACACAUGAAUUUAGUGAUUCAAAUUGAUAAUUGGUUUAAAUGUAAUUUAAGACACUUAGAAGAUACUAAACAUUUUACAUAACUUGGCUAAUUUAUAAUAAUUUGCCAAUCCGCCAAUGUGAUUUAGAUUUGUUUGAAAGUG